RNAcentral lists this ribosomal RNA (497 nucleotides) under uncultured bacterium. RNAcentral describes it as "partial 16S ribosomal RNA". It matches the Rfam family "Bacterial small subunit ribosomal RNA", at positions 28 to 507 of the family's 1533-position model. The record is from RNAcentral.
GAUGAACGCUGGCGGCGUGCCUAAUACAUGCAAGUCGAGCGAACAGACGAGGAGCUUGCUCCUUCGACGUUAGCGGCGGACGGGUGAGUAACACGUAGGUAACCUACCUAUAAGACUGGGAUAACUUCGGGAAACCGGAGCUAAUACCGGAUAAUAUUUCGAACCGCAUGGUUCGAUAGUGAAAGAUGGCUUUGCUAUCACUUAUAGAUGGACCUGCGCCGUAUUAGCUAGUUGGUAAGGUAACGGCUUACCAAGGCAACGAUACGUAGCCGACCUGAGAGGGUGAUCGGCCACACGGGAACUGAGACACGGUCCAGACUCCUACGGGAGGCAGCAGUAGGGAAUCUGCCGCAAUGGGCGAAAGCCUGACGGAGCAACGCCGCGUGAGUGAUGAAGGUCUUCGGAUCGUAAAACUCUGUUAUUAGGGAAGAACAAACGUGUAAGUAACUGUGCACGUCUUGACGGUACCUAAUCAGAAAGCCACGGCUAACUACGUG